RNAcentral lists this ribosomal RNA (250 nucleotides) under uncultured bacterium. RNAcentral's name for it is "partial 16S ribosomal RNA". It matches the Rfam family "Bacterial small subunit ribosomal RNA", at positions 524 to 776 of the family's 1533-position model. The record is from RNAcentral.
UACGGAGGGUGCGAGCGUUGUCCGGAAUCAUUGGGCGUAAAGGGCGCGUAGGUGGCCCGCUCAGCGUGCGGUGAAAGCUCGGGCUCAACCCCGAGUCGGCCGUGCGAACUGGUGGGCUGGACGCGACUGUAGAGGCAGGCGGAAUUCCGGGGUGUAGCGGUGGAAUGCGUAGAGAGCCGGAAGAACACCGGUGGCGAAGGCGGCCGCGGGCAGUGCUGCACUGAGGCGCGACAGCGUGGGAGCAAACAGG